RNAcentral lists this ribosomal RNA (459 nucleotides) under uncultured bacterium. RNAcentral describes it as "partial 16S ribosomal RNA". It matches the Rfam family "Bacterial small subunit ribosomal RNA", at positions 338 to 795 of the family's 1533-position model. The record is from RNAcentral.
CCUACGGGAGGCAGCAGUGAGGAAUAUUGGUCAAUGGGCGGGAGACUGAACCAGCCAAGCCGCGUGAGGGAUGAAGGUACAGAGUAUCGUAAACCUCUUUUGUCAGGGAACAAAGGCGGGGACGUGUCCCCGGAUGAGUGUACCUGAAGAAAAAGCAUCGGCUAACUCCGUGCCAGCAGCCGCGGUAAUACGGAGGAUGCGAGCGUUAUCCGGUUUUAUUGGGUUUAAAGGGUGCGCAGGCGGUCUGUUAAGUCAGCGGUCAAAGCCCGGGGCUCAACCCCGGCCCGCCGUUGAAACUGGCAGUCUAGAGUUGGAGAGAGGUAUGCGGAAUGCGCGGUGUAGCGGUGAAAUGCAUAGAUAUCGCGCAGAACUCCGAUUGCGAAGGCAGCAUGCCGGCUCCACACUGACGCUGAGGCACGAAAGCGUGGGUAUCGAACAGGAUUAGAUACCCCUGUAGUC